CCUACGGGUGGGCAGCAGUGAGGAAUAUUGGUCAAUGGGCGCGAGCCUGAACCAGCCAAGUAGCGUGAAGGAUGACUGCCCUACGGGUUGUACACUUCUUUUAUAAAGGAAUAAAGUGAGGCACGUGUGCCUUUUUGUCUGUACUUUAUGAAUAAGGAUCGGCUAACUCCGUGCCAGCAGCCCCGGUAAUACGGAGGAUACGAGCGUUAUCCGGAUUUAUUGGGUUUAAAGGGAGCGUAGAUGGGAUGUUAAGUCAGCUGUGAAAGUUUGCGGCUCAACCGUAAGAUUGCAAUUGAUACUGGUAGUCUUGAGUACAGUUGAGGUAGGCGGAAUUCGUGGUGUAGCGGUGAAAUGCUUAGAUAUCACGAGGAACUCCAGUUGCGAAGGCAGCUUGCUAAACAGCCACUGACAUUGAGGCGCGAAAGUGUGGGUAUCAAACAGGAUUAGAUACCCGGGUAGUC
RNAcentral lists this ribosomal RNA (461 nucleotides) under uncultured bacterium. RNAcentral describes it as "partial 16S ribosomal RNA". It matches the Rfam family "Bacterial small subunit ribosomal RNA", at positions 338 to 795 of the family's 1533-position model. The record is from RNAcentral.